Molecule: ribosomal RNA, 305 nt
Filed under: uncultured bacterium
Lineage: Bacteria
Description: bacterial SSU rRNA
Rfam family: Bacterial small subunit ribosomal RNA
Source: RNAcentral
CCUACGGGGGGCAGCAGUGGGGAAUAUUGCACAAUGGGCGCAAGCCUGAUGCAGCGACGCCGCGUGCGGGAUGGAGGCCUUCGGGUUGUAAACCGCUUUUGUUCAAGGGCAAGGCACGGUCUUUGGCCGUGUUGAGUGGAUUGUUCGAAUAAGCACCGGCUAACUACGUGCCAGCAGCCGCGGUAAUACGUAGGGUGCAAGCGUUAUCCGGAUUUAUUGGGCGUAAAGGGCUCGUAGGCGGUUCGUCGCGUCCGGUGUGAAAGUCCAUCGCUUAACCGGAGUAGUGCAUUGGAAACUGGGAGACU